This 204-nucleotide small RNA is filed under the name uncultured Mediterraneibacter sp. Its description in RNAcentral is "M-box riboswitch (ykoK leader)". The record is from RNAcentral. Lineage: Bacteria; Bacillati; Bacillota; Clostridia; Lachnospirales; Lachnospiraceae.
UCAUUUCGGUAGGUGAGGUUACCAUAGGGAUUUGGAGAUUGGAUUUGUAUCCGUUUUAUUGUAUAUGAAUCCAGAUGUUUUACAUCGGCUCCGGAGAUUGCUGCCGCGAGAUUGUGGAGACACAAUUAGUUGGUUAGCAGGCUGUGUCGAGAAGGCGCAACCUAAUGCAAUUGAUAUGCCCUGUGAUACUAAAGCUUGAACGGU